GUCUACGGCCAUGCCACUCAGAACAAGCCCAAUGUCUGAUCUUGGAAGCUAAGCAGGGUUGGGCCUGGUUAGAACUUGGAUGGUAGACCACCUAGAAAGACCAGGUGCUGUAGGCA
Molecule: non-coding RNA, 116 nt
Organism: Pteropus alecto (black flying fox)
Lineage: Eukaryota; Metazoa; Chordata; Mammalia; Chiroptera; Pteropodidae
Source: Rfam